CACACCCCAUUAUUUAUAGAAAAGGACAAGCAGGAGUGACUUGUACUAAGACGUAAAGUUAAAAAUGAAUGAAAUUAAGGAGGUUGACAGGGAAUGGUAAGAAAAAGGGAAAACACUGCAAAGAUAAAAGGGCAUCUGGUGUUGUCGUAGUGUGAACAUAUCUUUUAUUUGCCUGAAUUGUCAUCUCCGAGGAUCAGUGCCUCUGUCUGCUACCCUAGACCUAGUCAUGAAAGCUUCUAGUCCCCAUACAACCUUAUCUAGGCCUAGAAUGUUUUCAGACUCAGAUUUCCUGCUGAAUAAGUUCACCCUUCCUAGCUCUUUCUGAGUCCUGGCUGGCUGAUUUAUCUCAGCUGUUCUGGUCCAACUCCUCUCCAAGCUGACUGGUUCAAUCUGUCCUCUCUGUGCUUUUCCUGCAUUGCUUUGUUUAGCCUCAAACUGAGAAAACUGAGUUAGCCAGAGUCAGGCUGACUCCAUGACAGGCUGCAAGUUGGCACUUUGGGAGACUAGGCCUAAGUUUGUUUCCCAGGAACCACUGGUCAGCCACCCCAGCGGCAGGCACUGAUCUUAGGAUUCGUGCCACCCAGAGCCCUAACAAGUAACAAAGACACCCUGAAGAUACAGCCAACAAAUCAAGAGAAAGUAAGUCACCCAUCCUACCCUAACAGGCUUUAAAUGACCCUACAAAGCAGAUACUCUGUCUCCAUUCUCCGGCAAGCAGAAGAUGCUGUUGAAUAAACACUUUGCCUUCUACAUA
RNAcentral lists this long non-coding RNA (754 nucleotides) under Rattus norvegicus (Norway rat). Its description in RNAcentral is "long non-coding RNA NONRATT011361". Lineage: Eukaryota; Metazoa; Chordata; Mammalia; Rodentia; Muridae. The record is from RNAcentral.